Portunus trituberculatus (swimming crab) is the source of this 562-nucleotide long non-coding RNA. RefSeq lists it as uncharacterized. The transcript is spliced from 2 exons. The record is from RefSeq and is a predicted model, not a curated record. NCBI's taxonomy places the organism in Eukaryota, Metazoa, Arthropoda, Malacostraca, Decapoda, Portunidae.
UAUCCUAUCCAGCAGCAUUAGUUAGCAAUGAUAUAGAAAGAACAAGACCUUUUUUUAUUGUUCGCCAAGAUUUGAUUAUUAUCGUAAUUUAAUCAGAAUUAAAUGAAUCUGCGUUUCUUUUUUUGGGGGUGGGUGGCAGACAAACCGUUACAGUAACAUCCUUAGCGACGUGGGUCACCUCGACAGCACCAUUGAUAUCCUGAAGAUUGAUGUAGAGGGAAGUGAACUCCUCUUCUUUAAAGAUGUCUUUGAGCGCACACCUAAUCUCCUAAAAAACGUGAAAUUUAUAGCAAUGGAGGUGCAUAUUGGAACACAAAAUACAGAAAUUGGAAGGUAACACAUGUUGUUCUGGAAAUACUUUCAAUUGUUGGAUUGCCUCGGCUUCAAGAUAGUGUAUAGUGCUAUCAAUCCUGUCUCUGGGGGAAGAGCAGUAAAUGGAAGGCGUCGCUCCUGCUGUUAUGAAAUAGUGUGGGUGCAAGACCGUGCCUGGUAACACAACACCUCUAACUUUCAUCUACUCAUAACAGUAGAAACAACAAAAUAAUAAAAAAAUAGUUUACAA